This is a non-coding RNA of Acanthosepion pharaonis, 114 nucleotides long. NCBI's taxonomy places the organism in Eukaryota, Metazoa, Mollusca, Cephalopoda, Sepiida, Sepiidae. The record is from the annotation of a GenBank genome assembly.
UUACGGCAAUUUCAGGUCGAAACAACGGUUCUCGUACGAUCACCGAAGUUAAGCAACGUCGAACUUGAUCAGUACUUAAAUAGGUGAUCGCUUGGGAAUACUAGGCGCUGUAAG